This 627-nucleotide long non-coding RNA is filed under the name Mytilus galloprovincialis (Mediterranean mussel). The record is from RNAcentral. Lineage: Eukaryota; Metazoa; Mollusca; Bivalvia; Mytilida; Mytilidae.
UAAUACAAGAAUAGUCUUUAAUUUAAAAAAUACAAUUGCAAGUUACAACUAUUUUAUAUUUUCAUUUAAGUAAACCAAUCAGUUUGAAGAUAAAUAUGGUUAUCCAGCUCAUUUAAAACAUCCAAUUAGAUACCUUCUCCUAAAAUGAUCUUGAUCAAACCCAACUAAUACAUUUUUAAAACGCAAGAAGUCCUUUGGCAAAUUAAUCUUAAAAGAAAAUUUUAAAUGUAAAGAAUAAUACAUUUUUAAAAAGGGAGAAGUCCUUUGGCAAAUUAAUCUUAAAAGAAUAUUUUAAAUGUAAAGAAUAAUACAUUUUUAAAAAGCGAGAAGUCCUUUGGCAAAUUAAUCUUAAAAGAAUAUUUUAAAUGUAAAGAUUCAAACAUUGUACUUAAAUACAGCUCAUUGUUUAUGUAAAUAUUAAUGUAUAUAAAAUAAAAAUAAUGAAUAAAUAUAUAUGGUUUAUUAAAAAAAAUUACAGCACAUACUUCAAUAGCCAAAUAGUUGCUUUCUCAAUGCCAAAGACUGCAAAGAUGUACAUAUGACAAUAUAUUAUAUACCUCAUGACUAGAUUCAUAUUCUUAUUUUUAUGUUAAACUUCUUUUUCAAUAUGUAAUUGAACAUUUGAAG